AGAGUUUGAUCCUGGCUCAGGAUGAACGCUAGCGGCAGGCUUAACACAUGCAAGUCGAGGGGCAGCAUAAUGGAUAGCAAUAUCUAUGGUGGCGACCGGCGCACGGGGUGCGUAACGCGUAUGCAACCUACCUUUAACAGGGGGGAUAACACUGAGAAAUUGGUACUAAUACCCCAUAAUAUCAUAGAAGGACAUCUUUAUGGUUGUAAAUUCCGUAUGGUUAGAGAUGGGCAUGCGUUGUAUUAG
RNAcentral lists this ribosomal RNA (246 nucleotides) under uncultured bacterium. RNAcentral's name for it is "partial 16S ribosomal RNA". It matches the Rfam family "Bacterial small subunit ribosomal RNA", at positions 8 to 244 of the family's 1533-position model. The record is from RNAcentral.